UGUACACACCGCCCGUCGCUCCUACCGAUUGGGUGUGCUGGUGAAGUGUUUGGAUUGGUAUCAUUGGGGGGCAACCUCCGUUGGUACUGAGAAGAACAUU
This 100-nucleotide ribosomal RNA is filed under the name Dunaliella salina. Its description in RNAcentral is "partial small subunit ribosomal RNA". It matches the Rfam family "Eukaryotic small subunit ribosomal RNA", at positions 1661 to 1760 of the family's 1831-position model. The record is from RNAcentral. Lineage: Eukaryota; Viridiplantae; Chlorophyta; Chlorophyceae; Chlamydomonadales; Dunaliellaceae.